This 253-nucleotide ribosomal RNA is filed under the name uncultured bacterium. RNAcentral describes it as "partial 16S ribosomal RNA". It matches the Rfam family "Bacterial small subunit ribosomal RNA", at positions 524 to 776 of the family's 1533-position model. The record is from RNAcentral.
GACGUAGGGGGCUAGCGUUGUCCGGAAUCAUUGGGCGUAAAGAGCUCGUAGGCGGCUUGUCACGUCGGGUGUGAAAGCCCGGGGCUUAACCCCGGGUCUGCAUUCGAUACGGGCUAGCUAGAGUGUGGUAGGGGAGAUCGGAAUUCCUGGUGUAGCGGUGAAAUGCGCAGAUAUCAGGAGGAACACCGGUGGCGAAGGCGGAUCUCUGGGCCAUUACUGACGCUGAGGAGCGAAAGCGUGGGGAGCGAACAGG